Oreochromis niloticus (Nile tilapia) is the source of this 315-nucleotide long non-coding RNA. RefSeq lists it as uncharacterized. The record is from RefSeq and is a predicted model, not a curated record. NCBI's taxonomy places the organism in Eukaryota, Metazoa, Chordata, Actinopteri, Cichliformes, Cichlidae. The transcript is spliced from 3 exons.
ACAGUUACAGCUUCACAGCAAGAACCUUGAGAGCAAACUGCUGCUGAAGCUUAACCAUUACUUCACUGAGUGAAGAAAUGGCACAUUUUUGCUAAAUAUGCAGAAAUAAAUACAUAUGUUGAAGUUGCCUUGUUCUAAUGUUUUCUCUGAGGCUGCUGUGCCAUUUGGAGUAAAAAGUCAGAGAGCCGUGUCUCUCUACAGUCAGAGGUUUUUGUACGGCGCCUCAAUGAGUUUGUAUCACUGUGGUUCACGUUCGGUGGAGGAACCAGACUGGAAUUUGGAUGUGAUGUCCGUCCUGCCCUAACAGUGCUGCCG